UACUACUUCUACCUCGCUGCAGAAUAAAAGAUGUUUGUCAGCAGUCGAAUAGUCUUUCUGAAAAAAGAGUUUCUUGGUGAAGGAUCUAAUACCUGUAAAAUUGAACUUGAUGAAGUUCAUAAGGUGCAAGGACCGACACAUACAAAAUUGGAUUUGAUUGGUGAAUCAAAUUCGGAGUCAGUAAAGACAUCAUUGAGGAGAUCCAAUAGAAUACCGCAUC
Molecule: long non-coding RNA, 220 nt
Filed under: Elaeis guineensis (African oil palm)
Lineage: Eukaryota; Viridiplantae; Streptophyta; Magnoliopsida; Arecales; Arecaceae
Description: long non-coding RNA (EGUI_LNC009168)
Source: RNAcentral